This 468-nucleotide ribosomal RNA is filed under the name uncultured bacterium. RNAcentral's name for it is "partial 16S ribosomal RNA". It matches the Rfam family "Bacterial small subunit ribosomal RNA", at positions 28 to 507 of the family's 1533-position model. The record is from RNAcentral.
GACGAACGCUGGCGGCGUGCUUAACACAUGCAAGUCGAACGGAAAGGCCCUGCUUUUGUGGGGUGCUCGAGUGGCGAACGGGUGAGUAACACGUGAGUAACCUGCCCUUGACUUUGGGAUAACUUCAGGAAACCGGGGCUAAUACCGGAUAGAAGCUCCUGCUGCAUGGUGGGGGUUGGAAAGUUUCGGCGGUUGGGGAUGGACUCGCGGCUUAUCAGCUUGUUGGUGGGGUAGUGGCUUACCAAGGCUUUGACGGGUAGCCGGCCUGAGAGGGUGACCGGCCACAUUGGGACUGAGAUACGGCCCAGACUCCUACGUGAGGCAGCAGUGGGGAAUAUUGCACAAUGGGCUGAAGCCUGAUGCAGCAACGCCGCGUGCGGGAUGACGGCCUUCGGGUUGUAAACCGCUUUCGCCUGUGACGAAGCGUGAGUGACGGUAAUGGGUAAAGAAGCACCGGCUAACUACGUG